RNAcentral lists this non-coding RNA (235 nucleotides) under Halomonas sp. RNAcentral also lists the same sequence under 1 other name. Lineage: Bacteria; Pseudomonadati; Pseudomonadota; Gammaproteobacteria; Oceanospirillales; Halomonadaceae. The record is from RNAcentral.
AGCUUACCGCCACUCUCAGGUGCUGGCGGUGAGCUCACGGCCAGUUAAACGGGAAGUCGGUGCGCGAGUCCUAUCCAUCGUUUUCGCCACUCCGACGCUGCCCCCGCAACGGUGAUCGAGUCAACGUCCGUCGAUAUGCCACUUUGCCCGCUUGGGCAUGGGAAGGCGACGGUCGAGGAGGUGCCAGAAGCCUUCGCUCGUCAGCCCGGAGACCGGCCCGAGAGCCUCGUGCAAG